RNAcentral lists this ribosomal RNA (486 nucleotides) under uncultured bacterium. RNAcentral describes it as "partial 16S ribosomal RNA". It matches the Rfam family "Bacterial small subunit ribosomal RNA", at positions 28 to 507 of the family's 1533-position model. The record is from RNAcentral.
AUUGAACGCUGGCGGCAUGCUUUACACAUGCAAGUCGAGCGGCAGCGCGGGGGCAACCCUGGCGGCGAGCGGCGAACGGGUGAGUAAUGCAUCGGAACGUAUCCUCGAGUGGGGGAUAACCCAGCGAAAGUUGGGCUAAUACCGCAUGAGCGCUGAGGAGGAAAGCGGGGGACCUGCGAGGGCCUCGCGCUGGGGGGGCGGCCGAUGUCCGAUUCGCUAGUUGGUGGGGUAAAGGCUUACCAAGGCGCCGAUCGGUAGCUGGUCUGAGAGGAUGAUCAGCCACACUGGGACUGAGACACGGCCCAGACUCCUACGGGAGGCAGCAGUGGGGAAUUUUGGACAAUGGGGGAAACCCUGAUCCAGCCAUGUCGCGUGAGUGAAGAAGGCCUUCGGGUUGUAAAGCUCUUUCGGACGGAACGAAAUGGGCGGGACUAAUACUCCUGUCUGAUGACGGUACCGUAAGAAGAAGCACCGGCUAACUCCGUG